Perognathus longimembris pacificus (Pacific pocket mouse) is the source of this 235-nucleotide long non-coding RNA. RefSeq lists it as uncharacterized. Lineage: Eukaryota; Metazoa; Chordata; Mammalia; Rodentia; Heteromyidae. The transcript is spliced from 3 exons. The record is from RefSeq and is a predicted model, not a curated record.
GAUAAGAGUCUUGAAUUUUCCUGCCUGGGCUUGCUUUGAACCACAGUCCUCAGAUUUUAGCCUCCUGAGAGUAGCUAGUGUUACAAUUGUGAGCCACCAGUACCCAGCUAGGAGGCUAUUAUCUUAAAGUUGCUCUACUAGCUAUAAUCUAUCCAAGGAGAUAUUGUGUAAGCAAUCUUUAUUUUCUUUUUUUUUUUUUUUUUUUUUUGGCCAGUCCUGGGCCUUGGACUCAGGG